GACGAACGCUGGCGGCGUGCUUAACACAUGCAAGUCGAACGGACAGGCCUGCUUUCCCUUGUUCUUUUCUUAUACUCGGGUGGCUAACGGGUGAGUAACACGUGAGUGUUCUGCCCCCAACUUGGUUCUAAGCCUGGGAACCUGUGUCUAAUUCUCGUUAGGACUGCAGGGUGCUGCCUGUGGUGGAAAUCGUUUUUCUAGUUGUUGGGGAUGAGCUCGCGGCCUAUCAGCUUGUUGGUGUGGUAAUGUCCUACCAAGGCGGCGACGGGUAGCCGGCCUGGGAGGGUGGACGGCGACAUUGAGACUGGGACAAGGCCCAGACGCGUAGGAGAGGCAGGAGAGGGGAAGAUAGGAGAAUGAGCGGAAGCCUGAUGCAGCGAGGGCGCGUGGAGGGUGACGGCAUUCGGGUAGUAAGCUCCUUGCGAACGAGAGGAAGGCAACUGGUUGGAAGGGUGGUGACGGUAGUGGUAGAAGAAGCAACGGCUAACUACGUG
Molecule: ribosomal RNA, 494 nt
Filed under: uncultured bacterium
Lineage: Bacteria
Description: partial 16S ribosomal RNA
Rfam family: Bacterial small subunit ribosomal RNA
Source: RNAcentral